RNAcentral lists this ribosomal RNA (253 nucleotides) under uncultured bacterium. RNAcentral's name for it is "partial 16S ribosomal RNA". It matches the Rfam family "Bacterial small subunit ribosomal RNA", at positions 524 to 776 of the family's 1533-position model. The record is from RNAcentral.
UACGUAGGGUGCAGGCGUUAAUCGGAAUUACUGGGCGUAAAGCGUGCGCAGGCGGCCUCUUAAGUCAGAUGUGAAAUCCCCGGGCUUAACCUGGGAACUGCGUUUGAAACUACAAGGCUAGAGUGUAGCAGAGGGGGGUGGAAUUCCACGUGUAGCAGUGAAAUGCGUAGAGAUGUGGAGGAACACCGAUGGCGAAGGCAGCCCCCUGGGUUAACACUGACGCUCAGGCACGAAAGCGUGGGGAGCAAACAGG